This is a non-coding RNA of Ciona savignyi (Pacific transparent sea squirt), 83 nucleotides long. The record is from Rfam. NCBI's taxonomy places the organism in Eukaryota, Metazoa, Chordata, Ascidiacea, Phlebobranchia, Cionidae.
GGCAGGAUGGCCGAGUGGUCUAAGGCGCUGCGUUCAGGUUGCAGUCUCCUCUGAAGGCGCGUGUUCGAAUCCCGCUCCUGUCA